This 340-nucleotide unclassified non-coding RNA is filed under the name soil metagenome. RNAcentral's name for it is "partial contains 5.8S ribosomal RNA, internal transcribed spacer 2, and large subunit ribosomal RNA". The stretch from base 1 to 120 matches the Rfam family "5.8S ribosomal RNA", at positions 35 to 154 of the family's 154-position model. The record is from RNAcentral.
GAUGAAGAACGUAGCGAAAUGCGAUAAGUAGUGUGAAUUGCAGAAUUCAGUGAAUCAUCGAAUCUUUGAACGCACAUUGCGCCCCUUGGUAUCCCGAGGGGCAUGCCUGUUCGAGCGUCAUUUCAACCCUCAAGCACUGCUUGGCGUUGGCGGAUUGCGUGCCCUCGCGGCGCUGCAACCGCCCAAAUACAGUGGCGGUCCCGCUGCGGCUCCCUUUGCGUAGUAACUCACCUCGCACUGGACCGGGCGGCGGCCUGCCGUAAAACCCCAACUCACGAAAUGUUGACCUCGGAUCAGGUAGGAAUACCCGCUGAACUUAAGCAUAUCAAUAAGCGGAGGA